CCUACGGGUGGCAGCAGUGGGGAAUAUUGGGCAAUGGGCGCAAGCCUGACCCAGCAACGCCGCGUGAAGGAAGAAGGCUCUCGGGUUGUAAACCUCUUUUGUCAGGGAAGAGUAGAAGACGGUACCUGACGAAUAAGCCACGGUUAACUACGUGCCAGCAGCCGCGGUAAUACGUAGGUGGCAAGCGUUGUCCGGAUUUACUGGGUGUAAAGGGCGUGUAGCCGGGUUGACAAGUCAGAUGUGAAAUCCUGCGGCUUAACCGGAGAACUGCAUUUGAGACUGUUGAUCUUGAGUACUGGAGAGGCAGACGGAAUUCCUAGUGUAGCGGUGAAAUGCGUAGAGAUUAGGAGGAACACCAGUGGCGAAGGCGGUCUGCUGGACAGCAACUGACGGUGAGGCGCGAAAGCGUGGGGAGCAAACAGGAUUAGAUACCCCAGUAGUC
Molecule: ribosomal RNA, 442 nt
Filed under: uncultured bacterium
Lineage: Bacteria
Description: partial 16S ribosomal RNA
Rfam family: Bacterial small subunit ribosomal RNA
Source: RNAcentral